Long non-coding RNA from Aedes albopictus (Asian tiger mosquito), 1104 nucleotides. RefSeq lists it as uncharacterized. The transcript is spliced from 2 exons. The record is from RefSeq and is a predicted model, not a curated record. Lineage: Eukaryota; Metazoa; Arthropoda; Insecta; Diptera; Culicidae.
CCUGAUGGCCCCGAAACGAUACGAAGAGGAUACAGAUUUUUCCAACAGUUGGAAGUUACUUAAUUCGCUAUUCCGUCGAGGACUUGGCCAGCCGAUAGAUCCAGAGACUAAACGAUUUAUCGACAACCUUCGAGGACCGACGACUAGUUCCGGAAACGCUUUGGCGUCAGUGAAAGUUCGACCACAAAACGCGUCUCGUCGACGGAUGGUUUUGCGAAAUGUGCGCCGUUGAAAUGUGUUGGCAAGGCCACUGUGUGAAUCUUCGGAACGACCGGCAUGGCGCUACGUGGCAAGCAACCGUUUAAUAAUUUGUUUUUGUAUCCAAACGAUUGAUUAUUCGUGCCGGCGGAUAUAACGGCUUAUCAGGGCGAAAGUGUUUUUGAGCAAAGGCAACGGUGUGUUCUACGAUCGGGAUAAAUCCGGUUGGACGCAAAUUAAAAACUUCUAGGUGGUGCUAUCUUCGCUGACGAUACAUGAAUAAAUUGUUGAGGAAACUUCCGCCAAGGAUGAAAUCGUCCACGCAUUACAAUGCUGGGUGGUCUGUAAGUUUGCGGCCAACCUCUCGACAAACAAAACAUCCUCUGCAGGAAGUCCACCACAGCCAUGAAUCGACCGCUGGUGCAUCAAAAUGAAUUCGCUGUACGGCUGGUUCCGGUCCGGUGCAAGAUUUUAUUUCCGAUGGAUCUAGAUGGCGUCUUCAUCAAUGUCUCUCGACCCACUAGCUGAGCAAUCGCGCCAAAGUGCUCGGAAGCAAUUUGGAGCGUUUCGACAAGGUUGAAACUAAGCGGUUCUACAUUUCCCAAGGGUCGUUCCUCGUGCAGAGAGUGCGGUUCGAAGGGAGCCGAGAAGCAACUUGAAGCUGGUUUUUGGGAAGGCCUUCGGCAGCCGGAUCCUGUGGGCCUGAAGCAAAACCAGCAAGAUCUACUCGUCGGCGCAGCAGUUCAAAGCUCCCAAAGAACCGAACCUGGUCUACCGGCAGUAGAGUAAGAAAUCAUAAUUUGCAACAUUUCGACAUUCAUUAAAAUUUCAUAGUCAUAGCUUUUCAUAGUAUGACCUGGUAACAUUGACUUUACAAUCAUUAAAUAAAGCGUUUUUCAUCGAUAA